Molecule: long non-coding RNA, 417 nt
Organism: Chinchilla lanigera (long-tailed chinchilla)
Lineage: Eukaryota; Metazoa; Chordata; Mammalia; Rodentia; Chinchillidae
Exons: 3
Source: RefSeq, a predicted model, not a curated record
GCGAGUUUGCAUGCAGGAGCGUACUGAAGGAAUGCUAUGGAGGAACCCAUGGGCUUUCCUACAGAAACAACAAGCUUGAGCUGGACAAUGCAGGACUGGAGUUUGAGAGAAAAGUAAAGAAGAGGCCAGGGCCUAAAAGCAACAGAGCUGGAGGACCAUGGACUGUGACCUCUGAAACUGUCCACCCAUUGCUCUUUUCUGGCAACAAACACCUGCCUUCGGCAGGCUGUAGGCUGGGCAACACACAACAAAAUCAAGUAUGUCCAGUAAACACCCUCAGGCAUCCUCAUAAUGAUAAUAAAAAGUACCUGGGUGAGUAUUGGUGACUCAGGGCUCUUUUAACUAAAUUACUGACUUUGUCCUACAAAUAUUUCUAAGGCAACAUGCUGGGUAACCAAAAAAAAAAGUUUACUCAUC